Molecule: small RNA, 343 nt
Filed under: Aotus nancymaae (Ma's night monkey)
Lineage: Eukaryota; Metazoa; Chordata; Mammalia; Primates; Aotidae
Description: 7SK RNA (ENSANAG00000005260.1)
Rfam family: 7SK RNA
About the family: 7SK was discovered as an abundant small nuclear RNA in the mid-70s but a possible function has only recently been suggested. Two independent studies have found that 7SK RNA binds the CDK9/cyclin T complex (known as elongation factor P-TEFb). P-TEFb activates transcription by phosphorylating the C-terminal domain of RNA polymerase II.
Source: RNAcentral
AGAUGUCAGGGUGAUCUGACUAAGAAAUCUGUCACUUCAUUGAUUGCCAGGGUUGAUUCAACUGAUCUGGCUGGCUAGGCAAGUGUCCCCUUCCUCCCUCACCAUUCCAUGUGUAUUCCUCCUGAAGCUGCACGCUAAGUUGAAGAGAAUGGUUAUCCCCCAUAGAGGAGGACAAGUCUUUGAUCAAGAGUAUAUGAGCAGUUGCACUACCCUGCAAAUGCCUCCAAACAAGCUCUCAGGAAAUCAUUUCCCCUUCUCCCCAGGGUUUUCUUCCAGAAGUAUUACGGUUAUGGGUUUUGCCUUAAGGUCUAUGACGUAGCUGGAAUUCAGUUUUGUGUAAGGA